UACGAAGGGUGCAAACGUUGCUCGGAAUUAUUGGGCGUAAAGCGCACGUAGGCGGCUUUGCAAGUCCCAUGUGAAAUCCCACGGCUCAACCGUGGAAGUGCAUGGGAAACUGCAGAGCUUGAGUACUUAAGAGGAUCGCGGAAUUCCCGGUGUAGAGGUGAAAUUCGUAGAUAUCGGGAGGAACACCAGUGGCGAAGGCGGCGAUCUGGGAAGAUACUGACGCUGAGGAGCGAAAGCGUGGGGAGCGAACAGG
RNAcentral lists this ribosomal RNA (253 nucleotides) under uncultured bacterium. Its description in RNAcentral is "partial 16S ribosomal RNA". It matches the Rfam family "Bacterial small subunit ribosomal RNA", at positions 524 to 776 of the family's 1533-position model. The record is from RNAcentral.